This 426-nucleotide ribosomal RNA is filed under the name uncultured bacterium. RNAcentral describes it as "partial 16S ribosomal RNA". It matches the Rfam family "Bacterial small subunit ribosomal RNA", at positions 354 to 796 of the family's 1533-position model. The record is from RNAcentral.
GUGGGGAAUAUUGCACAAUGGGGGAAACCCUGAUGCAGCGACGCCGCGUGAGCGAAGAAGUAUUUCGGUAUGUAAAGCUCUAUCAGCAGGGAAGAAGAAUGACGGUACCUGACUAAGAAGCACCGGCUAAAUACGUGCCAGCAGCCGCGGUAAUACGUAUGGUGCAAGCGUUAUCCGGAUUUACUGGGUGUAAAGGGAGCGCAGACGGCACUGCAAGUCUGAAGUGAAAGCCCGGGGCUCAACCCCGGGACUGCUUUGGAAACUGUAGAGCUAGAGUGCUGGAGAGGCAAGCGGAAUUCCUAGUGUAGCGGUGAAAUGCGUAGAUAUUAGGAAGAACACCAGUGGCGAAGGCGGCUUGCUGGACAGUAACUGACGUUCAGGCUCGAAAGCGUGGGGAGCAAACAGGAUUAGAAACCCUGGUAGUCC